GCGGCUGUAGCUCAGCGGAUUAGAGCAUCGGUCUACGGAACCGAGGGUCGGGGGUUCGAAUCCCUCCAGCCGCACGA
RNAcentral lists this transfer RNA (77 nucleotides) under Actinobacteria bacterium 21-64-8. RNAcentral's name for it is "tRNA-Arg". It matches the Rfam family "tRNA". Rfam says of the family: Transfer RNA (tRNA) molecules are approximately 80 nucleotides in length. Their secondary structure includes four short double-helical elements and three loops (D, anti-codon, and T loops). The record is from RNAcentral. Lineage: Bacteria; Bacillati; Actinomycetota.